RNAcentral lists this unclassified non-coding RNA (328 nucleotides) under soil metagenome. Its description in RNAcentral is "partial contains 5.8S ribosomal RNA, internal transcribed spacer 2, and large subunit ribosomal RNA". The stretch from base 1 to 120 matches the Rfam family "5.8S ribosomal RNA", at positions 35 to 154 of the family's 154-position model. The record is from RNAcentral.
GAUGAAGAACGUAGCGAAAUGCGAUAAGUAGUGUGAAUUGCAGAAUUCAGUGAAUCAUCGAAUCUUUGAACGCACAUUGCGCCCCUUGGUAUCCCGAGGGGCAUGCCUGUUCGAGCGUCAUUUCACCACUCAAGCCUGGCUUGGUGUUGGGCGACGUCCCCUUUGGGGACGCGCCUCGAAACGCUCGGCGGCGUGGCACCGGCUUUAAGCGUAGCAGAAUCUUUCGCUUUGGAAGUCGGGGCCCCGUCUGCCGGAAGACCUACUCGCAAGGUUGACCUCGGAUCAGGCAGGGAUACCCGCUGAACUUAAGCAUAUCAAUAAGCGGAGG